Molecule: long non-coding RNA, 132 nt
Organism: Aedes aegypti (yellow fever mosquito)
Lineage: Eukaryota; Metazoa; Arthropoda; Insecta; Diptera; Culicidae
Exons: 3
Source: RefSeq, a predicted model, not a curated record
GUCAAAAGGAGCCUGUUGAGUGAUAUGAAAAGUCAUGCAAUCUAACAGUUAAAAUGCUCUUAAUCAAGUAAAAGUUAUAUUAUGCUAUUGAUCACAGAAGAAUCACAAUUUCUUAAGAUGAUUGUUACGGCU